RNAcentral lists this long non-coding RNA (261 nucleotides) under Nicotiana benthamiana. RNAcentral describes it as "long non-coding RNA (NBEN_LNC023424)". The record is from RNAcentral. Lineage: Eukaryota; Viridiplantae; Streptophyta; Magnoliopsida; Solanales; Solanaceae.
GUGGAACAUCCCAUUUGGCUUCAUCAGGAAGAGGAUUAACUGGCAAUUCAUAUGUAAGAAGAAGGCUCUUCGUUGUGUAAUACGGUGAACAAUAGUUGUCCGGCCUUUCAUUCCUAUGCCUUAAUGCUGCCAAAGCAUGUGCACAUGGAAGUUCAUCAAGUUGGAAUUUUCCACAGCAACAUUUCUUGUUUUCUAAACAUACAAUGUACUGCUUCACACCAUCUAACACAGUGUGUUAUGAUCUGUUGAAGCCCUCACCUA